Molecule: ribosomal RNA, 253 nt
Filed under: uncultured bacterium
Lineage: Bacteria
Description: partial 16S ribosomal RNA
Rfam family: Bacterial small subunit ribosomal RNA
Source: RNAcentral
UACGAAGGGGGCUAGCGUUGUUCGGAUUUACUGGGCGUAAAGCGCACGUAGGCGGCUUGUUAAGUCAGGGGUGAAAUCCUGGAGCUCAACUCCAGAACUGCCUUUGAUACUGGCAAUCUAGAGUCCGGAAGAGGUGAGUGGAACUCCUAGUGUAGAGGUGGAAUUCGUAGAUAUUAGGAAGAACACCAGUGGCGAAGGCGGCUCACUGGUCCGGUACUGACGCUGAGGUGCGAAAGCGUGGGGAGCAAACAGG